Molecule: ribosomal RNA, 253 nt
Filed under: uncultured bacterium
Lineage: Bacteria
Description: partial 16S ribosomal RNA
Rfam family: Bacterial small subunit ribosomal RNA
Source: RNAcentral
UACGUAGGGUGCAAGCGUUGUCCGGAAUUAUUGGGCGUAAAGGGCUCGUAGGCGGUUUGUCGCGUCGGGAGUGAAAACACUGGGCUUAACUUUGAGCUUGCUUCCGAUACGGGCUGACUAGAGGGAUGCAGGGGAGAACGGAAUUCCUGGUGUAGCGGUGAAAUGCGCAGAUAUCAGGAGGAACACCGGUGGCGAAGGCGGUUCUCUGGGCAUUACCUGACGCUGAGGAGCGAAAGUGUGGGGAGCGAACAGG